GGGUGAGUAACACGUGGGUAACCUGCCUGUAAGACUGGGAUAACUCCGGGAAACCGGGGCUAAUACCGGAUGGUUGUUUGAACCGCAUGGUUCAGACAUAAAAGGUGGCUUCGGCUACCACUUACAGAUGGACCCGCGGCGCAUUAGCUAGUUGGUGAGGUAACGGCUCACCAAGGCGACGAUGCGUAGCCGACCUGAGAGGGUGAUCGGCCACACUGGGACUGAGACACGGCCCAGACUCCUACGGGAGGCAGCAGUAGGGAAUCUUCCGCAAUGGACGAAAGUCUGACGGAGCAACGCCGCGUGAGUGAUGAAGGUUUUCGGAUCGUAAAGCUCUGUUGUUAGGGAAGAACAAGUGCCGUUCAAAUAGGGCGGCACCUUGACGGUACCUAACCAGAAAGCCACGGCUAACUACGUGCCAGCAGCCGCGGUAAUACGUAGGUGGCAAGCGUUGUCCGGAAUUAUUGGGCGUAAAGGGCUCGCAGGCGGUUUCUUAAGUCUGAUGUGAAAGCCCCCGGCUCAACCGGGGAGGGUCAUUGGAAACUGGGGAACUUGAGUGCAGAAGAGGAGAGUGGAAUUCCACGUGUAGCGGUGAAAUGCGUAGAGAUGUGGAGGAACACCAGUGGCGAAGGCGACUCUCUGGUCUGUAACUGACGCUGAGGAGCGAAAGCGUGGGGAGCGAACAGGAUUAGAUACCCUGGUAGUCCACGCCGUAAACGAUGAGUGCUAAGUGUUAGGGGGUUUCCGCCCCUUAGUGCUGCAGCUAACGCAUUAAGCACUCCGCCUGGGGAGUACGGUCGCAAGACUGAAACUCAAAGGAAUUGACGGGGGCCCGCACAAGCGGUGGAGCAUGUGGUUUAAUUCGAAGCAACGCGAAGAACCUUACCAGGUCUUGACAUCCUCUGACAAUCCUAGAGAUAGGACGUCCCCUUCGGGGGCAGAGUGACAGGUGGUGCAUGGUUGUCGUCAGCUCGUGUCGUGAGAUGUUGGGUUAAGUCCCGCAACGAGCGCAACCCUUGAUCUUAGUUGCCAGCAUUCAGUUGGGCACUCUAAGGUGACUGCCGGUGACAAACCGGAGGAAGGUGGGGAUGACGUCAAAUCAUCAUGCCCCUUAUGACCUGGGCUACACACGUGCUACAAUGGACAGAACAAAGGGCAGCGAAACCGCGAGGUUAAGCCAAUCCCACAAAUCUGUUCUCAGUUCGGAUCGCAGUCUGCAACUCGACUGCGUGAAGCUGGAAUCGCUAGUAAUCGCGGAUCAGCAUGCCGC
RNAcentral lists this ribosomal RNA (1270 nucleotides) under Bacillus amyloliquefaciens. RNAcentral describes it as "bacterial SSU rRNA". It matches the Rfam family "Bacterial small subunit ribosomal RNA", at positions 104 to 1360 of the family's 1533-position model. Lineage: Bacteria; Bacillati; Bacillota; Bacilli; Caryophanales; Bacillaceae. The record is from RNAcentral.